AUUUUUGCUUGUUUUGCUCUUGGGGCUAACAAUGCCUUCAAUAAAAUGAGAUUAAAAAAGUAGAGUGAAACAACACUCUAAACCAGAUUCGAGUGAGAAGAACUUGAAGGAGAGAUUUCCUCAGCAUCAAUCUUUAAAGCAGCUGAAAGGCCAGAAAUAAAUGGUGACUGAAGUCACUCAUCAGUCUAUGAGGGAAGGGGAUUAAAAUCUGUGUUCACAGGCUGAGAGCAGGUGUCUGUGAUGAGACCCCAUGCUGUGACAUGGAUGCAGCACAUUCUUACAUGAAAAGCCCUGGCUGAUGAAAUGACCACAGGAAGACAACAUGGAACCCUCCCAGCACUAUCAGAAGAAGCUUAAUUAAGCUCUGUGGUUAAAUUUAAAGACUUUUUGUCAGAAGCAUGGCAAGCAACUUCAGUUUGGCUUUCUAAAGUGCUGAACACCCAAAACUCCUACCAAGGCUUUCUGGAAUUACAGAGGCACAGUGGGAGCUCAAGUGGCACACAAGCUGUGAGACCCAGAGGGCCCAAGAUGGGCUUUGCCCAGGGAAAGAAUUGGCCAGCAUACCACCAAAAAUCGGACCCUCCUCUUUCAAGAAGGACUGAUGAGGAACAUCCACAAGGUUCAACAAAAUGUAAGGGAGCAGUCACAACUACAAGGCUCAAAAUAC
This 667-nucleotide long non-coding RNA is filed under the name Serinus canaria (Common canary). RNAcentral's name for it is "lncRNA (ENSSCAG00000000796.1)". The record is from RNAcentral. Lineage: Eukaryota; Metazoa; Chordata; Aves; Passeriformes; Fringillidae.